This 404-nucleotide ribosomal RNA is filed under the name Bacteroidota bacterium. RNAcentral describes it as "Bacteroidetes bacterium partial 16S ribosomal RNA". It matches the Rfam family "Bacterial small subunit ribosomal RNA", at positions 355 to 776 of the family's 1533-position model. The record is from RNAcentral. Lineage: Bacteria; Pseudomonadati; Bacteroidota.
UGGGGAAUAUUGCACAAUGGGGGAAACCCUGAUGCAGCGACGCCGCGUGAGCGAAGAAGGCCUUCGGGUCGUAAAGCUCUUUUAUGAGGGAAGAUAAUGACGGUACCUCAAGAAAAAGCCCCAGCUAACUACGUGCCAGCAGCCGCGGUAAUACGUAGGGGGCUAGCGUUGUCCGGAAUCACUGGGCGUAAAGGGUUCGCAGGCGGAAUAACAAGUCAGAUGUGAAAGGCAUGGGCUCAACCCAUGUAAGCAUUUGAAACUGUAAUUCUUGAGAAGUGGAGAGGUAAGUGGAAUUCCUAGUGUAGCGGUGAAAUGCGUAGAUAUUAGGAGGAAUACCUGUGGCGAAGGCGACUUACUGGACACAAAUCUGCCGCUGAGGAUCGAAAGCGUGGGUAGCAAACAGG